Balaenoptera ricei (Rice's whale) is the source of this 1384-nucleotide long non-coding RNA. RefSeq lists it as uncharacterized. The record is from RefSeq and is a predicted model, not a curated record. NCBI's taxonomy places the organism in Eukaryota, Metazoa, Chordata, Mammalia, Artiodactyla, Balaenopteridae. The transcript has 2 exons.
GAGCGCGGUCGGCGACCGCCCCCGGCUUGUUUCGGCCCCGCCGCCCGCCCGCCUGUGUCUCCGCCGGCCGGGCCGGGGCGGCGGCCGGAGCCCCGAGUGCCGGCUCCCUUCCCCCGUGGGUGCCAGCUGCUGGCCCUGCCCGGUGCCCCCCCACCCCUGUGCCAUGGCCGGCUGGGGUUCCUGGGGAUGGGAUUUGCUGCCUGUCACAAAUCACAUUGCCAGGGAUUUCCAACCGACCCUGAGCCCUGCCUCUGGGGCCACCGCUGUCACUGCUUCCGCUGAGGACACUGACCCAGGGAUGGGGAUGGGGUGGCAGAGAGGCCUCCACCGCCUGUGUCUGGCCUGGGGAGCAGGGCUUAGCUGCUUGUGAGCAGGUCCACAGCAAGUCGUGUUCACAGUGGCUAAGUUCCGCCCCCCGGGGCCCCGCCUCCUCUGGCCCUGCCACCUCUCCCCUCCGCCUGCCUGUCCGACCUCCGGGCCUCUCUGGGCUCUGCCUCCCGUGCCUACUGAGCUGAAACACAGUUGAUUUGUGCAGACUGGCUCAGUUCAGCAGGAACAGGAGUCAAGCCCCCUUGGAGUCUUCGGCCCCUGCCUUCCUUGGGUGGGCCAGUCGCUGCCUGGGAGAAGAGAUGAGGACCCUGCCCUGGACCUGUGUCUGGAGGAGGAACUUGGGGACGAGUGGAGCCUGGGAUGGGAUGGGUGAACCCAGCUGUCUGCUGCAGGCCCCCUCCUCCAAUUCUGCACUUGGGGACCCUCACACGGUCCCAUCUCAGGCUGGGCUGUGUUCCCGGGGAGGAUGGGUAGGCAGGCGAGUGGCCAGCCUUUCCAUGAAAAAAGGAAGCCAGCUGUGUCCCCACCUGGCCGACCCUUGGCCCCUCCUCUCCCAAGCCUGGUCGGGGGAUGGCUGGCUCGCAUCUUCCCAGUAGUCAGUUACCCAAGAGGAAGCUGCCUUGGGCCCCCAGACCGUUAAAUGCCAACUCCGGGCUUCCGGAACCAGGCUGGCCUGACCUGAACCUGCCUGGCCCCUUCUCCCUGGGCCCUGCGGCUUCCUAACUUGGGGGGGAGGAGCCAUGACGCCCUCCUGGCACGUGGGGCAGGGAAUGAGGUCCCUGUGGGCCCAAAGGACACAAGCAGGCCCUCUCAGUCCUUGGGUGGUCCCAGGGCAUGGACGCAUUGAGACUUUGUCCAUCAUCAGAUGGAAUGGGGCUCUUUUGGGGGUGAGACUGGGGAGGCAGAGUGAAGCCCCCCAGGCUGUCAGAGUUGGCUCAGUGUACCCCUGUUCCACUGGGGCAGGGGCAGACAGCAGCUUGGGGAAGUCUAUGCUGUGUGUCGAGCCUGUUGUUCAAUUAAAUAAAAGCUGCCCCCUGCCUCAUUCCUGAAGGUC